Molecule: ribosomal RNA, 450 nt
Filed under: uncultured Glomeromycotina
Lineage: Eukaryota; Fungi; Glomeromycota
Description: SSU rRNA
Rfam family: Eukaryotic small subunit ribosomal RNA
Source: RNAcentral
AGCAGCCGCGGUAAUUCCAGCUCCAAUAGCGUAUAUUAAAGUUGUUGCAGUUAAAAAGCUCGUAGUUGAAUUUCGGGGUCAGUAGGUUGGUCAUGCCACUGGUAUGUACUGGUCUCACUGAUUCCUCCUUCCUGAUGAACUGUAAUGCCAUUAAUUUGGUGUUGCAGGGAAUCUGGACUGUUACUUUGAAAAAAUUAGAGUGUUUAAAGCAGGCUAACGCCUGAAUACAUUAGCAUGGAAUAAUGAAAUAGGACGUUCGAUCCUAUUUUGUUGGUUUCUAGGAUUGACGUAAUGAUUAAUAGGGAUAGUUGGGGGCAUUAGUAUUCAAUUGUCAGAGGUGAAAUUCUUGGAUUUAUCGAAGACUAACUACUGCGAAAGCAUUUGCCAAGGAUGUUUUCAUUAAUCAAGAACGAAAGUUAGGGGAUCGAAGACGAUCAGAUACCGUCGUAG